GCUGGGUGCAGUGGCGCACACCUGAAAUCCCAGCAGCUCAUGAGGCUGAGUCAGGAGGAUCACAAGUUUGAGACCAGCCUCAGCAACUUAGCGAGGUGCUAAGCAACUCAGUGAGACCCUGUCUCUA
This 127-nucleotide small RNA is filed under the name Marmota monax (woodchuck). Lineage: Eukaryota; Metazoa; Chordata; Mammalia; Rodentia; Sciuridae. The record is from RNAcentral.